Molecule: ribosomal RNA, 254 nt
Filed under: uncultured bacterium
Lineage: Bacteria
Description: partial 16S ribosomal RNA
Rfam family: Bacterial small subunit ribosomal RNA
Source: RNAcentral
CACGUAGGGUGCGAGCGUUGUCCGGAAUUAUUGGGCGUAAAGAGCUCGUAGGCGGUGUGUCACGUCGGCCGUGAAAACCUGCAGCUUAACUGUGGGCGUGCGGUCGAUACGGGCAUCACUGGAGUUCGGCAGGGGAGACUGGAAUUCCUGGUGUAGCGGUGAAAUGCGCAGAUAUCAGGAGGAACACCGGUGGCGAAGGCGGGUCUCUGGGCCGAUACUGACGCUGAGGAGCGAAAGCGUGGGGAGCGAACGGG